This 433-nucleotide ribosomal RNA is filed under the name uncultured bacterium. RNAcentral's name for it is "partial 16S ribosomal RNA". It matches the Rfam family "Bacterial small subunit ribosomal RNA", at positions 29 to 507 of the family's 1533-position model. The record is from RNAcentral.
AACGAACGCUGGCGGCAUGCCUAACACAUGCAAGUCGAACGAGACCUUCGGGUCUAGUGGCGCACGGGUGCGUAACGCGUGGGAAUCUGCCCUUGGGUUCGGAAUAACAGUUGGAAACGACUGCUAAUACCGGAUGAUGACGUAAGUCCAAAGAUUUAUCGCCCAAGGAUGAGCCCGCGUAGGAUUAGCUAGUUGGUGAGGUAAAGGCUCGCCAAGGCGACGAUCCUUAGCUGGUCUGAGAGGAUGAUCAGCCACACUGGGACUGAGACACGGCCCAGACUACUACGGGAGGCAGGAGUGGGGAAUAUUGGAAAAUGGGCGAAAGCCUGAUCCAGCAAUGCCGCGUGAGUGAUGAAGGCCGUAGGGUUGUAAAGCUCUUUUACCCGGGAUGAUAAUGACAGUACCGGGAGAAUAAGCACCGGCUAACUCCGUG